This 855-nucleotide long non-coding RNA is filed under the name Pan troglodytes (chimpanzee). Its description in RNAcentral is "long non-coding RNA NONPTRT001632". Lineage: Eukaryota; Metazoa; Chordata; Mammalia; Primates; Hominidae. The record is from RNAcentral.
GGGGACGCAGCCUCUUCCCCGCUCCCCGGCUCCGGGAAGAGACGCGACCCAGGCGGGGACCCGGCGCUGAGCGAGGAGGCGCUGGGGCUGCGAAGCGUGCGACCCCGAGGCCUCCACCCGGACCGGGGCCACCACUCAGGCGGCGGCGCCGGCGCCGGAUCCAGCCCGAGCCCCGCGCAGCCCAAAGGAUACGACAGCCCCGGCCGAGGGGCGGCCGAGGUGGCCCAGAACAAUCUGCAGACGGGCGGCGGCGCGAGGCUGCUCCAUGGCUGCGGCGCGGGGAACCCCCACCCCUCCCGGCCUCUGCCCCAUUUAGCCCAGCGGGCGGCUCCGCCUCCAGGCGCCGCCCCGGACUGGACCUUCGAGUUACUUCCAGAACGUCGCAGCACACGUUAUCACUUCCUGCAUGACGUCUUUAUAGAAUUUGGUGACAAUGUCGCAGUCCAGGAGGGAGGCCUGCAGCCAGCAUCACCAGCCCCUUCCUGUUUGCACAGGCAGGGAGGAGAACCGCAGCUCCCGGGCUUCCCCUGGGGAGUCCCUCCGGCUUUCUCCGGGAUUCCGCCCGCCCCAGGGUCUCAGACCAACAGAAGGACCCGGGAUCCCUCAGCAGCUCCGGACCUCAUCUGCCCCACUUCGGCAUCCCGCGCGGGAAUAUGACCAUGUAGGAGUAACCCGGGGCUCUCAAGGACUCUACAGUUUGUCACGGUUUGAACGCAAGCGCAGGGCCUGGAGCGGGUGCAGGUGGAGGGUCGGCCUCUUUCUGCCCUUGGGAACGCCCCUUUCUGGAUGUGGACCGGCGAGGCGGUCUCUCCUUUCUGCCCUCGCCUGGUGAAAUGUGGGCACUGCUGCCAGGAG